This 1028-nucleotide ribosomal RNA is filed under the name Septomyrothecium sp. 2 AG-2017. RNAcentral describes it as "eukaryotic LSU rRNA". It matches the Rfam family "Eukaryotic large subunit ribosomal RNA", at positions 58 to 1121 of the family's 3401-position model. The record is from RNAcentral. Lineage: Eukaryota; Fungi; Ascomycota; Sordariomycetes; Hypocreales; Stachybotryaceae.
AAAGAAACCAACAGGGAUUGCCCCAGUAACGGCGAGUGAAGCGGCAACAGCUCAAAUUUGAAAUCUGGCCCCAGGCCCGAGUUGUAAUUUGCAGAGGAUGCUUUGGGCGCGGUGCCUUCCGAGUUCCCUGGAACGGGACGCCAUAGAGGGUGAGAGCCCCGUCUGGUCGGACACCAAGCCUAUGUAAAGCUCCUUCGACGAGUCGAGUAGUUUGGGAAUGCUGCUCAAAAUGGGAGGUAUAUGUCUUCUAAAGCUAAAUACCGGCCAGAGACCGAUAGCGCACAAGUAGAGUGAUCGAAAGAUGAAAAGCACUUUGAAAAGAGAGUUAAACAGCACGUGAAAUUGUUGAAAGGGAAGCGUUCAUGACCAGACUUGGCCCGGUUGAUCAUCCAGCGUUCUCGCUGGUGCACUCUGCCGGUCCAGGCCAGCAUCAGUUCGCCGCGGGGGAUAAAGGUUUCGGGAAUGUGGCUCCCCCGGGAGUGUUAUAGCCCGUUGCGCAAUACCCUGUGGUGGACUGAGGUCCGCGCUCUGCAAGGAUGCUGGCGUAAUGGUCAUCAACGACCCGUCUUGAAACACGGACCAAGGAGUCGUCUUCGUAUGCGAGUGUUCGGGUGUAAAACCCCUACGCGUAAUGAAAGUGAACGGAGGUGGGAGCUUCGGCGCACCAUCGACCGAUCCUGAUGUUCUCGGAUGGAUUUGAGUAAGAGCAUACGGGGCCGGACCCGAAAGAAGGUGAACUAUGCCUGUAUAGGGUGAAGCCAGAGGAAACUCUGGUGGAGGCUCGCAGCGGUUCUGACGUGCAAAUCGAUCGUCAAAUAUGGGCAUGGGGGCGAAAGACUAAUCGAACCUUCUAGUAGCUGGUUUCCGCCGAAGUUUCCCUCAGGAUAGCAGUGUUGAACUCAGUUUUAUGAGGUAAAGCGAAUGAUUAGGGACCCGGGGGCGCUAUUUUGCCUUCAUCCAUUCUCAAACUUUAAAUAUGUAAGAAGCCCUUGUUGCUUAAUUGAACGUGGGCAUUCGAAUGUAUCAAC